AGGACGAACGCUGGCGGCGUGCUUAACGACAUGCAAGUCGAACGAGGUCCAACCGGUGGCAACACUGGUGAAGACCGAGUGGCGAACGGGUGAGUAACACGUGAGCAACCUGCCCCGAAGACCGGGAUACCACCGGGAAACCGGUGCUAAUACCGGAUAUCCCUACCGGGCCGCAUGACCUGGUAAGGAAAUGGAUUCCGCUUCGGGAGGGGCUCGCGACCUAUCAGCUUGUAGGUGGGGUAAUGGCCUACCUAGGCUCCGACGGGUAGCUGGUCUGAGAGGACGAUCAGCCACACUGGGACUGAGACACGGCCCAGACUCCUACGGGAGGCAGCAGUGGGGAAUCUUGCGCAAUGGGCGAAAGCCUGACGCAGCAACGCCGCGUGAGGGACGAAGGGCCUUCUGGGUUGUAAACCCUCUUUCAGCAGGGACGAUGAUGACGGUACCUGCAGAAGAACGCCCCGGCCAACUACGCGCCAGCAGCCGCGGUAA
Molecule: ribosomal RNA, 492 nt
Filed under: uncultured bacterium
Lineage: Bacteria
Description: SSU rRNA
Rfam family: Bacterial small subunit ribosomal RNA
Source: RNAcentral